This 492-nucleotide ribosomal RNA is filed under the name uncultured bacterium. RNAcentral's name for it is "partial 16S ribosomal RNA". It matches the Rfam family "Bacterial small subunit ribosomal RNA", at positions 29 to 507 of the family's 1533-position model. The record is from RNAcentral.
AGUGAACGCUGGCGGUAGGCCUAACACAUGCGAGUCGAACGGCAGCACAGUAAGAGCUUGCUCUUACGGGUGGCGAGUGGCGGACGGGUGAGGAAUACAUCGGACUCUACUUUUUCGUGGGGGAUAACGUAGGGAAACUUACGCUAAUACCGCAUACGACCUACGGGUGAAAGCAGGGGAUCUUCUGACCUUGCGCGAUUGAAUGCGCCGAUGUCGGAUUAGCUAGUUGGCGGGGUAAAGGCCCACCAAGGCGGCGAUCCGUAGCUGGUCUGAGAGGAUGGUCAGCCAAACUGGAAGUGGGACACCGUCAAGGCUACUAAGGGAGGGAGCAGUGGGGAAUAUUGGACAAUGGGGGGGAGUCUGGUACAGCCAUACCGCGUGGGUGAAGAAGGCCUUCGGGUUGUAAAGCCCUUUUGUUGGGAAAGAAAAGCAGCAGGUUAAUACCCAGCUGUUCUGACGGUACCCAAAGAAUAAGCACCGGCUAACUUCGUG